Molecule: long non-coding RNA, 585 nt
Organism: Quercus robur (English oak)
Lineage: Eukaryota; Viridiplantae; Streptophyta; Magnoliopsida; Fagales; Fagaceae
Exons: 3
Source: RefSeq, a predicted model, not a curated record
AAGUCUCCAUCUUAACUCUUCUUUGACUCUUUCAAAGCAACUACAACAAUCAAGAACUCUCUCCCUCUUUCAUUCCCACAGGUCCAAAACCAAAAGAAGGAAAACCUCUCAAUUCUUUUCUCCCUUUCACAGCUAUGGGUCCAGCAGCAAGGAAAGAUGUUUCUUUCAAUUCUUCUCAAGCUUUUGUACCUAACUUGAAGCUAAAGUGAUUCUAGCUCUAUCACUCCAAGAAUCCAUGUCUAGGGUGUUACCAAUUCCCCAAGUCUAAGCUCCUUCGACUGUAGGCUCUCGGUUCCUCUGCUUUCAGUUAGUAGGUUUUGUUUUGGAGCAGAGGGAGCCUUAGUUGAGUUUGGAAGGAGCUGGUUUUAGUUUUAUAUGUAUAGAUCCUAAAUUAGCAAUUUGAUAUUUAGAUUUGUAGUAUGGUGUAUUUUAGGAUAUAAUGAAAGUGUGUAUCUUAAAGUAUUAAGAGAUUUAUUAUGUGAAAUUUAGAAUCUGAAUAAUUGGUGGAUUGUGUUAUCCUUUGAGGUACAAUGUAGAUGCUCUAAAUAUCAAGUGGAAAGUUAUAUCAUUUAAGUAAAGAAAUAA